AUUGAACGCUGGCGGCAGGCCUAACACAUGCAAGUCGAACGGCAGCACAGAAGAGCUUGCUCUUUGGGUGGCGAGUGGCGGACGGGUGAGUAAUGUCUGGGAAACUGCCCGAUGGAGGGGGAUAACUACUGGAAACGGUAGCUAAUACCGCAUAACGUCGCGAGACCAAAGUGGGGGACCUUCGGGCCUCACACCAUCGGAUGUGCCCAGAUGGGAUUAGCUAGUAGGUGGGGUAAUGGCUCACCUAGGCGACGAUCCCUAGCUGGUCUGAGAGGAUGACCAGCCACACUGGAACUGGGACACGGUCCAGACUCCUACGGGAGGCAGCAGUGGGGAAUAUUGCACAAUGGGCGCAAGCCUGAUGCAGCCAUGCCGCGUGUAUGAAGAAGGCCUUCGGGUUGUAAAGUACUUUCAGCGGGGAGGAAGGCGGUGAGGUUAAUAACCUUGCCGAUUGACGUUACCCGCAGAAGAAGCACCGGCUAACUCCGUGCCAGCCGCCGCUGUAA
This 506-nucleotide ribosomal RNA is filed under the name uncultured bacterium. RNAcentral's name for it is "partial 16S ribosomal RNA". It matches the Rfam family "Bacterial small subunit ribosomal RNA", at positions 30 to 523 of the family's 1533-position model. The record is from RNAcentral.